UGAAUGCAUUCAGAUGCAAGCCCAGCUCAGAGGACAAACCUUGGCUUUGAUAAACCAGCUGAUGGGCACUGGAUUAGAAAUGUUUCUGGUUUCCUUCCUCCAAGAACAAGUGAAAACUGCUGUCCAGAUGCCAGCAGAGAGGAGUCUGGACUGAGAGCUAUAAAGUGGCGUCCAUGUGACAAUCGUCAAAAAUGGCAUCAGAAUGGCUUGGAGGAUUCAAAUAAUUGAACGAAUAAGCUCCACACAGAAUCUCAACUGUAAUCCAGGUGGCAAAUUUCCAGAACAUCAGAUGCACUUCUCAGUGACAAGAAACCAGAAAGGACACUGGGCGGGGGCAGCCUGGGAGAUUCCAGAAAGGAGCUGCGCUUGAACGAAGAGGAAGGAGGCCUUGUACCAGACUUUCUAAUUGGGCUUUACCUGAAAAGUCUCCCUUCCGAAAUAUUGUAGCUCUUAGACCUGAACCAGCAUUGAACAACUUCGGCGUACAGUAAAUGGGGAUGAUUGAUUCUCCGUCUGAGCAAAACAGGAGCGUUCUUGAGUAAACAACUUGGCUUUGUGGAAACUUCUUUCUUUUUGUGUAGCUUUAUAAAAGUGUACAAUUCCGUGACUUUUACUGCAGUUACCAAGUCGUGCAGCUCUCACCAUAAACCCGUCCAGGACAUUCCCACCCUCCCAGCGAGGUCCCUCGUGCCCACUUACACUUCACCCCAGUUCCCAACCCCAGGCGGCCCCUCGUCCCCUUUCCAUCUCUCUACAUUUUCUGGACAUGUCACAUAAAUGGGAUCACACGACACACGGCUGCCGUGCCUGGCUUCUCUCACACGGUGUGAUGUGUCUCUGUUCGUUCACGCUGGGGCACGUGUCAGUGUUUCUUCAUUUUCACAGCUGAAGGGUGUUCCAUUGCGGGUGAACCGCAUUUCCCUCUGUCGCUUCCCCCGUCGUGGGAUGGACAUGGGGGCUGGUUCCCACUCUUUGCCUAUUAAGAACAACACUGCUCUGAACCUUCUUAGGCAUCUUUAUAAAAGGAAAUGUAACUAUAUCAAUGGUACUUAGAGAGCUGAAGGUUUGUCUUUGGGGACGCCUUUUACAAUAAGUAGUAUUUUAUUCAUUCUCAUCCAACGUUAUACACAAAUCAGGCUGUCUUGGCAAUGAUGAGCUUGAUGAUGGUUGCAGUGAAAGGGGUGACUGGUCUCUCUCCCGGGGGAGCAUCGUGGCGUCAGCAACAGGAAGCCAGGCGACGCUUCCCCUUCCCCCCAUUAUCGCUCAUCUCGGCCUCACCUGAGGCUCAUCGCCAGGAACUGCUUUUUUGGUUUGGGAGAUUUUUUAAAUAUAAAUCUAUAGUUGGGCUUCCCAGUGAACGUCCUCUUUUAAAAAGAAACUUCAUCUAGUUUUAGUGCAGUCUAUGGUCAAAUAUUGUGUCUUAGAGCUUUAAGAAGCAAGAUUCUGUGAAAUAACCGUACAGUUCAGUUCACUAUUGUGUUUGCUGAGCUUAAAACAAAUUUUCGGAAAUAUCAAGUGAAAUUCUGCAUUUGAGAAGGUGGAAAACAUGUUGCUUGGAGAAGUGAUUCAUCGACACCUUUCAAAUGUCCCCUCUGUCCAGUAGGCUCCUGCUGCCCUGCCUGUGGGUGGCCAGCGGUCCCCUUUGGCUCUGCUCCUGAACAAACCCCUCGUGUCGUUCUAAGGAGGUACCCCAGAAGCAGCCUGGGUUGGGGUUUAUGUGCAUUCGUGGGCUCCGUGAAGAGCACACUCCAGUGGGGACACUUCGCAGGUGAUGCCUAAGCCCUGAGCUCUCCCUGGUGGCACUGGUUCCAGAAGGAGGAAAGCUGACGGGAUGUUCGUUUCACAUCUCAUUUCCGACUGCAGAGAAAGAAGUCAGAUCGAUCAGGACUCUUAGAUACUGACUGAGGUCUCAUCUCCAAAUUGCUUGGCAGUCAGUUUCACAAAAGUAAUUUCAUAAGACUUUCCACCUUCUGCCUUGAACUGCACAUUACUUUUAUAGAUGGUUUUGAUGGCUGAUCUUGUAUUAACUCAUGUCCUUUGGUGACAGACCAGAACCUAAAUAAAG
Molecule: long non-coding RNA, 2065 nt
Organism: Hipposideros armiger (great roundleaf bat)
Lineage: Eukaryota; Metazoa; Chordata; Mammalia; Chiroptera; Hipposideridae
Exons: 3
Source: RefSeq, a predicted model, not a curated record